Molecule: ribosomal RNA, 492 nt
Filed under: uncultured bacterium
Lineage: Bacteria
Description: partial 16S ribosomal RNA
Rfam family: Bacterial small subunit ribosomal RNA
Source: RNAcentral
AGUGAACGCUGGCGGUAGGCCUAACACAUGCCAGUCGAACGGUAGCACAGUAAGAGCUUGCUCUUACGGGUGGCGAGUGGCGGACGGGUGAGGAAUACAUCGGAAUCUACUUUUUCGUGGGGGCUAACGUAGGGAAACUUACGCUAAUACCGCAUACGACCUACGGGUGAAAGCAGGGGAUCUUCGGACCUUGCGCGAUUGAAUGAGCCGAUGUCGGAUUAGCUAGUUGGCGGGGUAAAGGCCCACCAAGGCGACGAUCCGUAGCUGGUCUGAGAGGAUGAUCAGCCACACUGGAACUGAGACACGGUCCAGACUCCUACGGGAGGCAGCAGUGGGGAAUAUUGGACAAUGGGCGCAAGCCUGAUCCAGCCAUACCGCGUGGGUGAAGAAGGCCUUCGGGUUGUAAAGCCCUUUUGUUGGGAAAGAAAAGCAGCAGGUUAAUACCCCGCUGUUCUGACGGUACCCAAAGAAUAAGCACCGGCUAACUUCGUG